RNAcentral lists this ribosomal RNA (419 nucleotides) under uncultured bacterium. RNAcentral's name for it is "partial 16S ribosomal RNA". It matches the Rfam family "Bacterial small subunit ribosomal RNA", at positions 359 to 775 of the family's 1533-position model. The record is from RNAcentral.
GAAUAUUGGUCAAUGGACGAAAGUCUGAACCAGCCAUGCCGCGUGCAGGAAGACGGCCCUACGGGUUGUAAACUGCUUUUAUACGGGAAUAAACCCUCGAACGUGUUCGAGGCUGAAGGUACCGUACGAAUCAGCACCGGCUAACUCCGUGCCAGCAGCCGCGGUAAUACGGAGGGUGCAAGCGUUAUCCGGAUUUAUUGGGUUUAAAGGGUGCGUAGGCGGAAUAUUAAGUCAGUGGUGAAAUCUCUCGGCUCAACCGAGAAACUGCCAUUGAUACUGAUAUUCUUGAAUUUAGUUGAAGUAGGCGGAAUGAGGCAUGUAGCGGUGAAAUGCAUAGAUAUGCCUCAGAACACCGAUCGCGAAGGCAGCUUACUAAACUAACAUUGACGCUGAGGCACGAAAGCGUGGGGAGCAAACAG